AUUGAACGCUGGCGGCAUGCCUUACACAUGCAAGUCGAACGGUAACGCGGGGCAACCUGGCGACGAGUGGCGAACGGGUGAGUAAUGCAUCGGAACGUGCCCAGUAGUGGGGGAUAGCCCGGCGAAAGCCGGAUUAAUACCGCAUACGACCUACGGGUGAAAGCGGGGGACCGUAAGGCCUCGCGCUAUUGGAGCGGCCGAUGUCAGAUUAGGUAGUUGGUGGGGUAAAGGCCUACCAAGCCUUCGAUCUGUAGCUGGUCUGAGAGGACGACCAGCCACACUGGGACUGAGACACGGCCCAGACUCCUACGGGAGGCAGCAGUGGGGAAUUUUGGACAAUGGGCGCAAGCCUGAUCCAGCCAUGCCGCGUGCGGGAAGAAGGCCUUCGGUUGUAAC
RNAcentral lists this ribosomal RNA (396 nucleotides) under uncultured bacterium. RNAcentral's name for it is "bacterial SSU rRNA". It matches the Rfam family "Bacterial small subunit ribosomal RNA", at positions 29 to 429 of the family's 1533-position model. The record is from RNAcentral.